UGAUAACAUUUUGACCUUUUGAAAACUCUUUGAAGUGGCAAUGGCCACAAAAUUGAGCGGAAACCAAACAUAUUCAGCCCCAUUUCCAGAUAAAUUGGAUUUGCUAAACCACUCAGAAUAACAAGAGCAAGAAUUAGAUGUUCAGCUAAGCUCUAGCUUCUGAUCCUAGAUGGUGGCAAUAACAACGAUAGUAUUAAUGAUAAUAGCAGAAACUCUUAAUAUGUGUGAGGCAUUCUUCUAAAUGCUUUACAUAUAUUAAUUUAAUGUUCAUCGGAGCAGAUUCUCCUACUGUAUCCAAGAGAUCAGAAAUUCAGAGCAAAAAGCAGAUUGCUGCCUGAUAGCAGAUCCACUCUAGGAAUGGGGAGAUUUUCUCAUAAAUCUAAUGACUGGUGAAAGUGACAAGAGGUUAGUCCACUCAGUGUUGGAAAGGACAAGAUCCUAGAAAGUGGAAAUGCUCCACUAUUGCUUUAGGGGGAACAGCCUGGCUACAACUGGGCAGACUUUCUAUUACUAACAUCAGGAUAAUAGGGAAGCUCCUGCCAAUGCUGCAUAGAACUAAGAACACUUAGCAGUGAUGGCUGACUUCCAACUGAGCCAUUAAGGUAAGUGUAGAAGAAAGCUCCAGGUAGAAAUAUCUUUGGGAACUCAGAGAACACACUGAGUGUUUGAAGCUGGUACUUAAUCUAUUAUUGAACUCAGAGUUUGCCAUUCUGGGGCCAAUUUGAGUCCACUUAUGACACCUCCCACAGCACUGCUCAUUUCUGUUAACUGGGCUUCACAGAGGGUGAGAAGGGCAGCAAUCAGAUCAUAUAAUUGGGCCUCAUUGUAAUAAAAUGUUGAUUUCUGUUGUCCUUGGACUUCCUUCCAGCCACAAUCACUCUAUGAUCUUGUCUGAGAUUCUUUUUCCUUUCUCUCUCCAUUUUGCUGACUGUAAUGGAAUAAUAGCAGAAGCUCUCAAUCUGUAUGAGGAAUAUAUAUGAAGAAUGUGUAACAUUCACUGUGUUUCCUAAUAGAUGAAUUAUCUAAAGGACACCUCUUAAGAAGAGAUGAGAUGGAGCCAACUGUCAGAAAAAAAAAUGGGUGAAGAAAGUUUCAAGGAGAAGACUCCACAGAGCAGAAUGGGAAAGAUGGCCAGGAGAAAAGUGAGAUAAUAAAAGGAAAAGCAGUCCCUGACACAGAAGGCAGUGCUGUUCCUGAUAAGACACAUGACACAAAAUAUGGUUUUGCUGAGUAUCAAGUUUACUGAGGCUGCCUGGGAACUUGAGCUGUCAGCCAAACAGGAAGAAGGGCCCUUCUGCCUACUCCAAAAGGCCUCAGUCAAAUGGAUAUGUUUACUGAGGCUGCCUGGGAGCUGUCAGCCAAACAGGAAGAAGGGCCCUUCUGCCUAACUCCAAAAGGCCUAAGUCAAAUGGAUAUGGUGAGAUUUAAUGAUGGAUAUAAAUUACAGCAAAUGGAUUUCCUAUAGAGUGAGGGAAAAAAAAAAUCCAGCUACUCCGGAGACUGAGGCAGAAUUGCGAGAACCCGGCAGGUGGUUGCAGU
Molecule: long non-coding RNA, 1539 nt
Organism: Homo sapiens (human)
Lineage: Eukaryota; Metazoa; Chordata; Mammalia; Primates; Hominidae
Exons: 4
Source: RefSeq, a predicted model, not a curated record